GAUGAAGAACGUAGCGAAAUGCGAUAAGUAAUGUGAAUUGCAGAAUUCAGUGAAUCAUCGAUCUUUGAACGCACAUUGCGCCCGUCAGUAUUCUGGCGGGCAUGCCUGUUCGAGCGUCAUUACGCCCCUCAAGUCCCCUGUGGACUUGGUGUUGGGGAUCGGCGAGGCUGGUUUUCCAGCACAGCCGUCCCUUAAAUUAAUUGGCGGUCUCGCCGUGGCCCUCCUCUGCGCAGUAGUAAAACACUCGCAACAGGAGCCCGGCGCGGUCCACUGCCGUAAAACCCCCCAACUUUUUAUAGUUGACCUCGAAUCAGGUAGGACUACCCGCUGAACUUAAGCAUAUCAAUAAGCGGAGGA
Molecule: unclassified non-coding RNA, 357 nt
Filed under: soil metagenome
Description: partial contains 5.8S ribosomal RNA, internal transcribed spacer 2, and large subunit ribosomal RNA
Rfam family: 5.8S ribosomal RNA (bases 1-119)
Source: RNAcentral